Octopus sinensis (East Asian common octopus) is the source of this 241-nucleotide long non-coding RNA. RefSeq lists it as uncharacterized. The transcript has 2 exons. The record is from RefSeq and is a predicted model, not a curated record. NCBI's taxonomy places the organism in Eukaryota, Metazoa, Mollusca, Cephalopoda, Octopoda, Octopodidae.
UGUGCAUGCGUGCAUACACACACACCUGCGUGUGUGUGUGUGUGCAUAUAUAUAUAUACACACUCAUAAUGUGUAUGGUUUUAGCCAGUUAGUUGAUGGUGUGUGUAUAUAUAUCUAUCUAUAUAUGUAUGUGCACAUAUAUAUAAUGGAUAUGUAUAUUUGUGUGUGUAUAUGUAUAAUAUAAUAUCAUUACUUCCAUAAUUAUCAAGGGAUGAUUAAUAUCAGCUGUCAGUUUGGCAUG